This 494-nucleotide ribosomal RNA is filed under the name uncultured bacterium. RNAcentral describes it as "partial 16S ribosomal RNA". It matches the Rfam family "Bacterial small subunit ribosomal RNA", at positions 28 to 523 of the family's 1533-position model. The record is from RNAcentral.
GAUGAACGCUAGCGGCAGACUUAACACAUGCAAGUCGAGGGGUAUAGGUUUUCGGACCUAGAGACCGGCGCACGGGUGCGUAACGCGUAUGCAAUCUACCUUUCACAGAGGGAUAGCCCAGAGAAAUUUGGAUUAAUACCUCAUAGUAUUAUGAAGUGGCAUCAUUUUAUAAUUAAAGUUCCAACGGUUAAAGAUGAGCAUGCGUCCCAUUAGCUAGAUGGUAAGGUAACGGCUUACCAUGGCGACGAUGGGUAGGGGUCCUGAGAGGGAGAUCCCACACACUGGUACUGAGACACGGACCAGACUCCUACGGGAGGCAGCAGUGAGGAAUAUUGGUCAAUGGACGCAAGUCUGAACCAGCCAUGCCGCGUGCAGGAUGACGGUCCUAUGGAUUGUAAACUGCUUUUGUACGAGAAGAAACACUCCCUCGUGAAGGAGCUUGACGGUAUCGUAAGAAUAAGGAUCGGCUAACUCCGUGCCAGCAGCCGCCGUAA